RNAcentral lists this ribosomal RNA (305 nucleotides) under uncultured bacterium. RNAcentral's name for it is "bacterial SSU rRNA". It matches the Rfam family "Bacterial small subunit ribosomal RNA", at positions 335 to 655 of the family's 1533-position model. The record is from RNAcentral.
UGUACCUACGGGACGCAGCAGUGGGGAAUAUUGCACAAUGGGGGAAACCCUGAUGCAGCAACGCCGCGUGCAGGAAGAAGGUUUUCGGAUUGUAAACUGCUUUAGACAGGGAAGAAAAAAGACAGUACCUGUAGAAUAAGCUCCGGCUAACUACGUGCCAGCAGCCGCGGUAAUACGUAGGGAGCAAGCGCUAUCCGGAUUUAUUGGGUGUAAAGGGUGCGUAGACGGAGAAGCAAGUUAGUUGUGAAAUCCCUCGGCUUAACUGAGGAACUGCAACUAAAACUACUUCCCUUGAGUACUGGAGA